RNAcentral lists this ribosomal RNA (762 nucleotides) under Clostridioides difficile. Its description in RNAcentral is "bacterial SSU rRNA". It matches the Rfam family "Bacterial small subunit ribosomal RNA", at positions 1 to 789 of the family's 1533-position model. The record is from RNAcentral. Lineage: Bacteria; Bacillati; Bacillota; Clostridia; Peptostreptococcales; Peptostreptococcaceae.
UUUUAUUUGAGAGUUUGAUCCUGGCUCAGGAUGAACGCUGGCGGCGUGCCUAACACAUGCAAGCUGAGCGAUUUACUUCGGUAAAGAGCGGCGGACGGGUGAGUAACGCGUGGGUAACCUACCCUGUACACACGGAUAACAUACCGCAAGGUAUGCUAAUACGGGAUAAUAUAUUUGAGAGGCAUCUCUUGAAUAUCAAAGGUGAGCCAGUACAGGAUGGACCCGCGUCGGAUUAGCUAGUUGGUAAGGUAACGGCUUACCAAGGCGACGAUCAGUAGCCGACCUGAGAGGGUGAUCGGCCACAUUGGAACUGAGACACGGUCCAAACUCCUACGGGAGGCAGCAGUGGGGAAUAUUGCACAAUGGGCGAAAGCCUGAUGCAGCAACGCCGCGUGAGUGAUGAAGGCCUUCGGGUCGUAAAACUCUGUCCUCAAGGAAGAUAAUGACGGUACUUGAGGAGGAAGCCCCGGCUAACUACGUGCCAGCAGCCGCGGUAAUACGUAGGGGGCUAGCGUUAUCCGGAUUUACUGGGCGUAAAGGGUGCGUAGGCGGUCUUUCAAGUCAGGAGUGAAAGGCUACGGCUCAACCGUAGUAAGCUCUUGAAACUGGGAGACUUGAGUGCAGGAGAGGAGAGUGGAAUUCCUAGUGUAGCGGUGAAAUGCGUAGAUAUUAGGAGGAACACCAGUUGCGAAGGCGGCUCUCUGGACUGUAACUGACGCUGAGGCACGAAAGCGUGGGGAGCAAACAGGAUUAGAUACCCUG